UAGUGUUCGAGUUCUCUUAGUUGAUUUUAGGGCUCAGUUAGCUUCUUAACAGUUCCAUCAAUUUUCCAUUUUGAUUUUUCAGCAAUCAAAUAGAUUCUGUAGAAGAAAAUCUCAGUUUCAUGCAUGUACUAGAUUUUUUUUUUCUCUGUGCUUGUUCUUCUCUGGUAUUAUUAAUUCGUCUACGGAGUAAAAUUAGGGUUUCGUGCUCUUUGUUUGGUUGCUGAGAAAUUGUAAGAAACAUAAAUGAAAAUUUUGAGAUGCUUUGUCGGGGUUUGUGCCGCGAGAGCUGCAAUUAAGGAGUGUUUGUGCCAUGAGAGCUGGAGAAACAGGAAUUGGAGGAGGUUAGGUUCAUGAUCGAUGUGAAUCUGAUGAGUAUAUUUCAUAUGAUUAAGGCAAAGGAUGAAGAAUCAGAAGAACCGUGGACUGGCGUCGAUCACCAUUAUAUCAUUGCUGAUAGGUCAGGCACAUCAACAAAGACAUUCUUAAAAGGGUGUUGAAACAUGGAAGAAGGAAACCAUAAUGAAAAAGGAGGUUGUUAAGCGUUUGAGAAUAAAUGGUAAUGAUACAAAGGAAGUAUAGUACAAACCUCUUCCUGGUGGCCCAAGUAAUUAUGACACUCAAAAUGCCACCAAGAAAUCUGAAGAACUAGAGGUAAGUAUACUACGAAAAUCUAGUUUUAAUCUUAGAGUUUUCAAGAAUUGAUUUAUGUAACCAUCCCGGGUCAGUAUGACUGAAAAUGUUUAAACUAGAAGGAACUUGGGCUUUUUGUUUUCACUUGGGUUGCUUUCCUCACAUUGCAGAUUACAAAGUUUUCCCACUCUUGAUCUUAUUUUGUUAAGGAGUUAAUACUUUAAAAUCUCUACUCACAUGAAGUUAUUGAUCCUGAUUGGAAAUCUUAAGAUGUUAUUCAUUAUGGUUGUGAAUUAUUAUGACUUCUAUAGGUGGUACCUAUAUCAUUGUAGAAUUCAUAGAGCAUGAAAAUUUUGGAACUUGUAUGUUUUGCUGAUAUCAUGUCCUUUUCCUAAUCUUGAAGAUUGUACAAGAAGGAUCUCAAUCAACAAAACAACUAUAUUCUUAUCAUGAAGGACCUCCUUUUCUAGACCAGCAAAUGCAGCCAGAAUCAAUUAGUUUAUAAGGAAGAUUGAACUCACAAGCAAAAGAAAAAACUUCAAUCUACUAUCUCGGAUUCUACAACACACAAGUACCUUAAUAAACCAGGAACCACCCAUCAUUUUUGGAAGUCAUUGACCAUGCCAUCUCCCUCGGCAUCAACAAUAAUAGGGACGCAGAGAACAAUGGACAGAAAAUUGCCAAGAAGACAAUGCAACUUCUUGACUUCAUGGCACAGAAACUGUUCUAGAGGUUGGCACUUCUAGAAGUAGAGGAAAGAGGUUCACGUCAGAGUUGAAGUUUGCAAUUACUAGAGAUUUCAACCCUGAAAUGGUGAUAGGAGAAGGUGGGCGUAGUAAAGUGUACCUAAGAUGAUCAUGCUUUUGCUUUUACCCGAGUUUCCAAUAAGUUUUUCAAUUCUCACCUUUUAGAUUUUGUUUCAACAAUGGUAUAUAAUGAAGCACAAGAAGUUAUAGUUUUCCUUUUA
This is a long non-coding RNA of Vitis riparia (riverbank grape), 1597 nucleotides long. RefSeq lists it as uncharacterized. The record is from RefSeq and is a predicted model, not a curated record. NCBI's taxonomy places the organism in Eukaryota, Viridiplantae, Streptophyta, Magnoliopsida, Vitales, Vitaceae. The transcript has 4 exons.